This 229-nucleotide unclassified non-coding RNA is filed under the name plant metagenome. Its description in RNAcentral is "partial contains small subunit ribosomal RNA, internal transcribed spacer 1, and 5.8S ribosomal RNA". The record is from RNAcentral.
UCUCCGUAGGUGAACCUGCGGAGGGAUCACUACAGAGUUCAUGCCCUACCGGGUAGAUCUCCCACCCUAUGUUAUUAUUACUUUGUCGCUUUGGCGGGCCGUUAGGCUCCGGCCCGACUACCGGCCCCGGCUGGUAAGCGCCCGCCAGAGGACCCAAAACCCUGAAUAUUAGUGUCGUCUGAGUACUAUAUAAUAGUUAAAACUUUCAACAACGGAUCUCUUGGUUCUG